UGAGGAACAUGACCUUCGGCGGGGGAUAGCCGGCCCAACGGCCGGGUAAUACCGCGUACGACCACAUGGGGACAUCCCUGAGUGGUGAAAGCAGCAAUGCGCCGAUGGAGUGCCUCGCGGCCUAUCAGCUAGUUGGUGAGGUAACGGCUCACCAAGGCGACGACGGGUAGCUGGUCUGAGAGGAUGGCCAGCCACAGUUGGGACUGAGACACGGCCCAGACCUGUACGGGGAGG
Molecule: ribosomal RNA, 234 nt
Filed under: uncultured bacterium
Lineage: Bacteria
Description: partial 16S ribosomal RNA
Rfam family: Bacterial small subunit ribosomal RNA
Source: RNAcentral